GGAAGCGUGGCCGAGAGGCUGAUGGCGCCGGCUUUGAACACCGGAGAGGGCGCGAGUCCUCCGCAGGUUCGAAUCCUGCCGCUUCCGCCA
RNAcentral lists this transfer RNA (90 nucleotides) under Rhodanobacteraceae bacterium. Its description in RNAcentral is "tRNA-Ser". It matches the Rfam family "tRNA". Rfam says of the family: Transfer RNA (tRNA) molecules are approximately 80 nucleotides in length. Their secondary structure includes four short double-helical elements and three loops (D, anti-codon, and T loops). The record is from RNAcentral. Lineage: Bacteria; Pseudomonadati; Pseudomonadota; Gammaproteobacteria; Lysobacterales; Rhodanobacteraceae.